This 397-nucleotide ribosomal RNA is filed under the name uncultured bacterium. Its description in RNAcentral is "bacterial SSU rRNA". It matches the Rfam family "Bacterial small subunit ribosomal RNA", at positions 114 to 507 of the family's 1533-position model. The record is from RNAcentral.
UAUAUCGGAACGUGCCCAGUCGUGGGGGAUAACGUAGCGAAAGCUACGCUAAUACCGCAUACGAUCAUGGAUGAAANCGGGGGAUCGCAAGACCUCGCGCGAUUGGAGCGGCCGAUAUCAGAUUAGGUAGUUGGUGAGGUAAAGGGCUCACCAAGCCGACGAUCUGUAGCUGGUCUGAGAGGACGACCAGCCACACUGGGACUGAGACACGGCCCAGACUCCUACGGGAGGCAGCAGUGGGGAAUUUUGGACAAUGGGCGCAAGCCUGAUCCAGCAAUGCCGCGUGCAGGAUGAAGGCCUUCGGGUUGUAAACUGCUUUUGUACGGAACGAAACGGUGAGCUCUAAUACAGUUUGCUAAUGACGGUACCGUAAGAAUAAGCACCGGCUAACUACGUG